AUGAAGCAUAAAUCUAGUUAUUAAUUAAGAAAAGAAUGAUUAGAGAAUUGGAUCGAUAAUAGGAUAUGAAAGCUGAAUUUUGAUGAUUAUUGAUUCUAAAAUGAGUUGAUAUUUUAAAGAAUAUCUUAAGAAUUAGAUGUGUGAUAAUUUUAUGGUCUAAAUUCAUAAUUUAUAGCAAUUUCUGUUACUUAGCCGACUCAGACAGGGGUUAAGUCGACUAUGUCUCAAGAUAGCUAUGCCAGGCAGAAAGCUGAAGUUUCAAAAAAAAUUGGGGUGGCACGCAAGUUAGUCAACUAAGUUUCAGAUGAGUCGACUAAGUUUGAGUCGACUCAUCUUAGGUUAGUCGACUAAGCUGCGGAAAAGCUAAAGUGGCGGGAUUCUACAGAGUUGCUGAAAUUUAGAGAUUUAAAAGUACUUUCAUGAGGAUUAUUCAAUAGCUAUUUUUAUAUAAAUAAAAGGUUAGAAAACUAAGAUAUUGCUGGCUGAUUCAUGGGAUUGACACCUAACCAGAUAAGUCUUUAAAUUUUCUUUUCCUAAGGGGGCUGUUCAUCAUGUUUCUCUUGUUUUGGUUGUUCUAGUUCUUGAGUAAAAAUAGAAGC
This 599-nucleotide long non-coding RNA is filed under the name Elaeis guineensis (African oil palm). RNAcentral's name for it is "long non-coding RNA (EGUI_LNC007968)". Lineage: Eukaryota; Viridiplantae; Streptophyta; Magnoliopsida; Arecales; Arecaceae. The record is from RNAcentral.